AAACUUUCACCAUACAAAAUA
Molecule: microRNA, 21 nt
Filed under: Arabidopsis lyrata
Lineage: Eukaryota; Viridiplantae; Streptophyta; Magnoliopsida; Brassicales; Brassicaceae
Description: aly-miR857-5p
Gene: aly-miR857-5p
Source: miRBase by way of RNAcentral